CGGAGGAUCCAAGCGUUAUCCGGAAUCAUUGGGGUUUUAAAAGGGUCCGUAGGCGGUUUAGUUAAGUCAGUGGUGAAAUACUGGUCGCUCAACGAAUCAAACGGCCAUUGAUACUGUAAGACUUGUAAUUACUUGGAAGUAACUAGAAUAUGUAGUGUAGCGGUGAAAUAGCUUAGAGAUUACAUGGAAUACCAAUUGCGAAGGCAGGUUACUACAAGUAUAUUGACGCUGAUGGACGAAAGCGUGGGGAGCGAACAGGAUU
Molecule: ribosomal RNA, 262 nt
Filed under: uncultured bacterium
Lineage: Bacteria
Description: partial 16S ribosomal RNA
Rfam family: Bacterial small subunit ribosomal RNA
Source: RNAcentral